Molecule: long non-coding RNA, 2574 nt
Organism: Neofelis nebulosa (Clouded leopard)
Lineage: Eukaryota; Metazoa; Chordata; Mammalia; Carnivora; Felidae
Exons: 3
Source: RefSeq, a predicted model, not a curated record
CCCCUUGCAGACCCGUGCUCACCAGGUUCCCUCACAGGUAGCUAGGCAACCAAAGGCAACAUACACAAAGAGCACAGAGCUGCCAAGUGCUACCCGGCAGGGUCUUCAGACGAAAGCAGAACCGGGGGCCUAUAAAUAUCCGCAAGGUGACAGAACACACAAACAGAUAAGGGACAAAUACUACAGAUGUUUUAGAGUCUGGAUCUCCAGCCACAGUAAGAAUAAAGACAGGCCUGGUAAGGCACUGGUGGACAAAUAACUGGAUGGCUGGGAAACCAGAUAGCAAAGCCCAGGGCGACUCAGUACUGGGGAUAGAGAGACCACAAGUGAGGCUGAACAACUCUUUAUUACCACCACACGAGGGUCUAAGGCAUGCACUUUGUAACAUGCAUUGCAACUGAUCACAGGCCUUUGAGGCAGGUCCUGGUUCUCAAGGCCACUUUGGAUACAUGAAAUGAACAGAUAAAUUAUCUCUACAAAAUGAACUGUGAAUUCCACAGGGGCUCACGGCAAUAAAUAGGAGUCCCUGCUGUAAAGAGUUUCCUCUGGCACAAACAAUAGACAUAAACAAAUAUUCAUUGAAGAUGCAACUUUGUUUCAGCCAAACACAUCUAUUCAAUACCAUGUCGAACUUGUGAUCUUUCCAUUUCUUUUUAAAGAAGGAGCUGUUUUCAUUUUUCCUAUGGCUGCUUGGGUGUGAGUUUAGUUUACAACUGAGAAGUGAAGACAAUGAGCCCAAGUGGAAGGAUUUCCAAAAUCUACUCUCGGAUAGGUCUAAAUGUUCAGAAACCUACACUGGUGUUUCUCUUGCACGGCAAGUUCCCCCCAGAAGGAGGUGCCAUGGGGUCCCAUGCUUCAACAAAGCCUAGAUUUGUGUGUAAAACAACAGAUUAAAUCCUACACAACGCAGCCCAAACACUACUGCUUCUAAGAAUUUUCCUUCAAUUUCCAACCCAGGGAUAACUUGUAUUUUUAUCUGGUAUAGCAACUAGCCUUUUCUAACUCCAUGUUUAUUAAUACCUUCCACUUCGCCCAUGCGCUGUUUAGAGGGUACUGCACGUAGUAGGUACCCAGAAAACUUCUCAGAAGUCAUCUAUGUGAUGUGCUUUCACAUUUAAGAAUACUAAAUACUGUAUUUGGAUAGGACAUCCGUACUUCAAGGAAUCUUUAAUGGUUAACACAUAUGCACACACAAAAACACUUUGGAGGAUUCAUGAAAACGUCACUUGGAAGAGAAAGCCAAAUAAUGCCUCCAUUUUCUUUAAGAAACUUACUUUAAAAAUGAUUGCUGCAGAGGGGCCUGUCCAGAACUAAAGUUAAAUUAGCCUGGUAGCUGCUGUCUGGUGAUAACUUUCUUCAUGCCAGGAAGUUGCCAAUGAUUGAAAAAAAAGAUAACAUCUAUGCUGGAAAGCAUAUGGAAAAAUGAAUGCGCCACAUUAUAAAUUGAAAAAUGAGGAGCCAUGGUAUUUAUGGUUCUCUGCAACUUUCUAAGUUUAUGAGAAACAGGUGUUCUGAGGAGUCUCCAUGUUGAUUUCAGCUACUGAUAAUCAGUUAUCUGGUACUGAGUAGUGAAGAUUCUCACGGACAGUGAGAAAAAGAACAGAGAUGGCAUCCAACAAUUCCAAACAUUCUGGUAAAAGCUUAAAUACCCAGUCAACGUGAUCAUUUUCGUUCUGUGUCUCUAUGAAAGUAAAAUAUCUCAACAUUUUAACAGACUUUUCAGUGAUCACGAACGCAAGAUUUUAUUGUAUUCUUAGAUAAGGUCAAAAGAUCUAUGUGUUCCUAUGAAGCACAAGCUUCCCCCACCAAAAGAAAAACAAUAAAUGGAAAACAUCAAGAGGGCAGAAGGAGAGUAAAAGAGUGGAUCUCUAAGACUGGAGAGCAAAGAAUGUUCUAUUUCCUAGGGAUUAACAUUUACACAAACACUGACUACACUAAUGGAGGGCUUUAUCCACACUUUAUCAUUUUGUUUAGUUUAUCUGGAUGAUGAUGCGAAACAAACCCAAAAUGAAGGAGGGACAUGGCUACUAUCUACGCAACUCUUCCAACUCAUAAGUCACCGGUAUAUCCAGACACCAGACUAAGUUCUGGUUCACAGGGAUUUCCCAACUCUGAAAAUCCCACGUUGCAAUAGAACAGGCCUUGAAAUCUUACAAAAGGGGUUCAUUGUGUUGAAUUAAAACGUACCCCUACACACACAGUAAUUUUAAGCAGAAAACGAACACAAAACCAAACUGACAAACCCCAGAAGCACUUAUUUUAGAUGAAGAAAUCAGAUGUUCUCCCCUCUGUACAAUGUGCUUCACGCACAGUUCCAGCAAGGAGCCAUCCCUCAAAUUCUGGCGGAAAAGCAACCUGAAACACGAAAUACCGCAGGCCGUCCACGUGCCGAACACCCAGCAAGGCACAGUGUGUACGCGCACUGCUAUCUAACACAUCAAGCAGUUGACCUCAUGGUCCUAGCCCGGGUUUUCUCAAAGACAAAGUCAUCGCAGCCUCCCAACCAAGCCCACUCCGAGACUUGUCUUGAUCCCUCUCCAUCCCCCUGAAGCCUGUUCCCAGAACCUAGUGUCU